CACGUCGCCUAUAAAACAGUAGAGUGCGCAUUUACUCUCGGGUGCGAUCAUACCAGCACUAA
This 62-nucleotide ribosomal RNA is filed under the name Mentha gattefossei. Lineage: Eukaryota; Viridiplantae; Streptophyta; Magnoliopsida; Lamiales; Lamiaceae. The record is from RNAcentral.